RNAcentral lists this long non-coding RNA (4428 nucleotides) under Salmo salar (Atlantic salmon). RNAcentral describes it as "lncRNA (ENSSSAG00000093008.1)". The record is from RNAcentral. Lineage: Eukaryota; Metazoa; Chordata; Actinopteri; Salmoniformes; Salmonidae.
UAGCUGUUUUUAGGCUGUCAUGGCAACAACAGCCAGUGUGAAACUUCACAGAAAAAGAAGAACAGCCAGUAUGUGUGAGAAUUUCAUGGGAAGGACAUGGGGAGCUAAUAGUAGCUAGCUAAUAUGGCUAAUUGGCUAUUAUAUGUAUCAAGCUACUGGUAGGUUAGAUAGCUAGCCAGUAGCUAUCUGGCUAGCUGGCUAAGAAGAGGCACUACUGGCUAACAUUACUGGCUAACGUUAGCUAUGCUAGCCAACUGGUACUGGCUAGCAUAGCUAGCUAGCUACCUUCACAACAAGACACCAUCGUGGAACACCUUCUUGUAAUUUCACAUUUGGAAGGUGGAUAACUAACAAUUAGCUGGAUUACUAGCUUGCAUGGUUAUUUAUUUUCUAUCAGAUAGCUUGCAAACAAUGAUACACUAAAGUUACUCUAGAGGGGAUCACUAAUGGUAUGUAGCUAUUCAAAAAACAAAGGACUUAUCUGAAAGCAUUUCAUCAGGCUAUAUAGUGUAACGUCACAUGUACAAUAUAAUAUUUUGUUUCCUAUUUUGGCCAGCUCUCGCACUGUGUGUGUGAGUGUCUCUCUCGCAUGUCUGUGUGUCCCCCUGUCUGUUUAGGAGUUCCAGAUGUGGCUGCAGGAGAGUAGUGGCAGAGAACACUGCAGGGCAUUUUCUCUGAGCAAUGAUAUGAAAUGUAGGACAUGUACAAGUAAGUAUCCCAUAUCAGAUACUACUACUUGGAUAGGUAAGAGGCAGAAGUUGCAAACAUAGAGGUAGAUACUGUGUACAGUAUGCUUGCAACUUUAACAGUAGUCAGUCAAGGAACAGCUUUGCUGCUCAAGAAAAUAUGGUGUCACAGUACUGAAGGGGAAGAGCAGGCAGGUGAACUUCCUAUCUCUUGUGGGUAUACCCUGAUGGUGCCAUGACAAACAGUUGAAGUUGGAAGUUUACAUACACUUAGGUUGGAGUCAUUAAAACUAGUUUUUCAACCACUCCACAAAUUUCUUGUUAACAAACUAUAGCUUCGGCAAGUCGGUUAGGACAUCUACUUUGUGCAUGACACAGACUUUUUUUUCCAAAAAUUGUUUACAGACAGAUUAUUUCACUUAUAAUUCACUGUAUCACAAUUCCAGUGGGUCAGAAGUUUACAUACACUAAAUUGACUGUGCCUUUAAACAGCUUGGAAAAUUCCAGAAAAUGAUGUCAUGGCUUUAGAAGCUUCUGAUAGGCUAAUUGACAUCAUUUGAGUCAAUUGGAGGUGUACCUGUGGAUGUAUUUCAAGGCCUACCUUCAAACUCAGUGCCUCUUUGCUUGAUAUCAUGAGAAAAUCAAAAAAUCAGCCAAGACCUCAGAAAAACAAUUGUAGACCUCCACAAGUCUGGUUCAUCCUUGGGAGCAAUUUCCAAAUGCCUGAAGAUAUCACGUUCAUCUGUAUAAACAAAGGUACGCAAGUAUAAACACCAUGGGACCACGCAGCUGUCAUACCACUCAGGAAGGAGAUGCGUUCUGUCUCCUAGAGAUGAACGUACUUUGGAAAAGUACGAAAAGUGAAAAUCAAUCCCAGAACAACAGCAAAGGAUCUUGUGAAGAUGCUGGAGGAAACGGGUACAAAAGUAUCUAUAUCCACAGUAAAACGAGUCCUAUAUCGACAUAACCUGAAAGGUCGCUCAGCAAGAAGCCAUUGCUCCAAAAAAAAAAACUACGGUUUGCAACUGCACAUGGGGAUCGUACUUUUUGGAGAAAUGUCCUCUGGUCUGAUGAAACAAAAAUUGAACUGUUUGGCCAUAAUGACCAUCAUUAUGUUUGGAGGGAAAAGGGGGAGGCUUGCAAGCCGAAGAACACCAUCUAAACCGUGAAGCACGGGUGUGGCAGCAUCAUGUUGUGGGGGUGCUUUGCUGCAGGAGGGACUGGUGUACGUCACAAAAUAGAUGGCAUCAUGAGGAAGUAAAAUGAUGUGGAUAUAUUGAAGCAACAUCUCAAGACAUCAGUCAGGAAGUUAAAGCUUGGUCGCAAAUGGGUCUUCCAAAUGAACAAUGACCCCAAGCAUACUUCCAAAGUUGUGGAAAAAUGGCUUAAGGACAACAAAGUCAAGGUAUUGGGCCAUCACAAAUCCCUGACCUCAUUCCUAUAGAAAAUUUGUGGGCAGAACUGAAAAGCGUGUGCGAGCAAGGAGGCCUGACUCAGUUACACCAGCUCUGUCAGGAGGAAUGUGCCAAAAUUCACCCAACUUAUUGUGGGAAGCUUGUGGAAGGCUACCCGAAACGUUUGACCCAAGUUAAACAAUUUAAAGGCAAUGCUACCAAAUACUAAUUGAGUGUAUGUAAACUUCUGACCCACUGGGAAUGUGAUGAAAUAAAUAAAAGCUGAAAAAAAUCAUUCUCUCUACUAUUAUUCUGACAUUUCACAUUCUUAAAAUAAAGUGGUGAUCCUAACUGACCUAAGACAGGGAAUUUUUACUUGGAUUAAAUGUCAGGAAUUGUGAAAAACUGAGUUUAAAUGUAUUUGGCUAAGAUGUAUGUAAACUUCUGACUUCAACUGUAUAUGACAACCAGCAGUUUUUGUAAAGGCUGUUGGCCAAAGGGUUCCCUCUCACUCCACACACACAGUCACUGUGUCAAAAUAAAUAUACACUGAAUUAGGGCUGGGCGAUAAAUCAAUAUCAAUAAUUAUCGAGGUAAUUACUUCCCUCAAUUACGAUAUAAAAAUGUUUAUAUACAUUUUCGAUAAUGUCGCUGUAGAAUAAUUAGGUACAGCAGUCCAUUUCACCACUGUGACGCAGCAAGAACGCGCGGAGAAGUGACAAUAUGCACGUGGAGAGGUAUACGCCCACUUAAAACCACUUAGCACCUGGGGUGAUGGAGUAGCCACUAUUAAGCACGGAAAAUUAGUGAUGUAGGCGAAAACAGUGGCAGUGAUAGACAUGGAGAAGGAGCAGCUUCCAACCAAUAAAUUAUUGAUAAAAAGGGUUCAACUGUUUCAGUUAUUUGGAAGUGGUUUGGCUUUUUGAAGUCCGACAAAGAGCAGAGCAAUGUUCGGUGCAAAUUGUGCCGUAGACAGGUGGCUACCAAGUCUGGUAAUACGACAAACCUUUUUCACCAUCUGAAGCAAAAUCCCUCUUUGGAACAUGCAGAAAGUUUGAGUUUGCACCACGGUAUUGAUAAAUGCCCCUCAAGCACCAGCCAAUCUAGGGAUGUUCGCCCGAAGCAGUCAACACUGACAACAUUUUUACGUUUAUGCAAAACAGACUGGUGCGAACGUGGUGAAGGCCGCUCAAAUUAACAAAUGGACCCGACUGCAAUGUUUUGGACAUCGUCUGCACUUGGCCAAUGAGAGAGUAGGUAGAGACAAAUGGGUGGAUCGAGCAAUUGGAGUGUGUAAGAAAGUGGUAGGUGCCUUUUCCUAUUGGUGGAAAAAGAAGAGGGACCUGGCAGUUGUUCAAAAAGAACACAACCUACCCCAGGGCAAGUUGGUGACAGAGUCGCCUACAAGGUGGGGAUCACGUCAAAAGAUGGUGCAAAGAGUAAUGGAGCAGGAGAAAGCCAUUUCACAGGUCAUGUCCAGUGACAAGAAGACCCGGCACUUACCUCCCACCUAUACAGAUAUAGAUGUUCUUGAGUCCAUCAACCAGGCAUUGACCCCACUCCUAGUCUUAUGUCAGUGUGUCUUACCUGAAGCCAGUACUACACCUGUUCAAUACAGAGGUCAUGAAACCUGAUGAUGGUGAAACAGAGCUCACCCAAACCAUCAAAACGGUAGUCAUGGACUAUCUGAAUGAGAAAUAUGAUGACCUAGCCACAGAUGACCUCCUGGACACAGCAUCGUUAGUCGACCCUGGGUUAAAACACAUUACAUCAAAGAGGAGAAGGUGGGCCACAUAAAAGCAAGAGCUGUCUCAGAGAUGGUCAGUGACGGAGAUGAAAACCCAAGCCCAGCACAGGGAGACGUUGCUGCUGCUGCUUCACCACAAAUGCCAGCUAAAAAGAGAAAGUCACUGGGCAGUUUUUUCAAAAAACCAUGCUCCACCACCACAGGUCUUACUGAAAUCCAGCUGGUAGAAAAGGGACUCAGCUGCUACCUUCAGUCUCCUGAUGCUGACGGUGAAACCAAUCCACUGGACUGGCGGAAGAUCCACCCAAAAAACUUUCCCGAAGUCAGCCACCUGGCAAAGCGCUACCUGUGCAUUCCUGCGACCAGCUCCCCCUCAGAGUGUGUUUUUAGCACAGGUGGCAACAUAGUGACCUGCCAUAGGGCAGCUUUAAAGCCGGAGACAGUAGACAGACUUGUCUUUCUUGCUUGUAACUUGUAAGACAACAACGACUGGCUGAUGUUUUGGUCACUUUUGAAUGCUGGCGGUGCUUUCACUCUAGUGGUAGCAUGAGACGGAGUCUACAACCCACACAAGUGGCUCAGGUAGUGCAGCUCAUCCAGG